UUCUCUUGUGACUCUGUAUUAUCGUCCUUCUUGAGUUCCCUAAGACAUACGUUUGGCCUUCGUCGAGGAGAUGAGAAUAGCAUGGCUUACCUGGCUUCCAUGAGCCCUGUGUGGCUUUCGGUUCCUUCAUCUGGUGGCCUAUAGUACACCCAUUAUCCUGCACACUAGUUCCUCAAAUAGUUUGGCUUUGAUUAGAACAUUCCUUCAGUCUUCAAAGAGGUUUUCCCUCCUAAUCCUUCUUUAGAUCCAUUCUUGAGACUUCAUGCCUUUGCUUACUAGUCCCAAAAGAGUCCCUAGGUCACUGUACCAAGUUCUCAGAGGGUGACCUAUGGGUCCAGCAGUUUCUACAAUUAUUGGAGGAGGAUCUAGAAGUCUUUCAUGGAUUAUGUUUGGUUAGGGACAAUGAGGGAGGUUCCUCAUGCUGACCUCUUCUCAACUCCUUCAACCAACAAGCGCUUAUCCCUUCCUACUCUUGAGAUAGUUUCAAGUGCCUCAAGUGGUAGGGUUGGAUUCGUUGAAUGACAUCAAUCUAGAGGUAGUUGGAUAUCUUAUGCUAGUAAUUUUCCUCCUUAGCCUAAGUCUGCUAUGAUAGUUAGUUCAUUCCCAGGGGUUCCCAUUAAAAAAGGGAUAGCAGAGGAAAUUGGUUCAGUAGUUCCACGAGGCAAGGGAAAGGAGAAAAAAAAGGUAAGAAAGGUACUAUGCAGAAGGAUGAAGAUGAGAAGGACGCUGACAAGAUAGAGACUAGUCAAGGAACUAAGAAGAAGAAAGUUUCUGCUUCCUCAAAGCAACCCUUUAUUUCCUAGGGAUCUAGGGAGGUGGCACCUGUUGUUGUUGAGGCGGGAUCCCGGGGUAAGGAGGUCAUUCAUCCCCCUCCUCCCAAGAUCAAGAUCAAAACCAAGAUAGAGAUUCCUAAGCUCCAAACCCCUGUUGGUUCCCCGACGGGGACCAUCCCAGUAGCUGUUUCUUCGCUAGCCCAAGUCAAAAUGCAAAGUUGAUCCUCAAAGAAUGAAGGGUUCCUCUUCAACUGGUAAGGUGGUAUUAUUUUUUUCCAUAUUCCUUAAUUGUCUAGACCUUUUGUUAAAUUCUUUCGCUUCCUGCUUCAAGUGGAAAUUUCCCCUCCUCCUCUUAGGGAUGUGAUUCCAAAGGGAACAUCCAAAGAUCAACCUCCUACUGGUCCUAAUGUAGGUAAGUCUGAGCAAGUCCUUGGCCCUAUUGAUGGAGCAACUAAGAACCCACCAAAGCUGUGGAAGGAGGUGUGAUUCCUUCUAAGGGUACCGGCUUACUGUCUUUUUAUAAAUUCCUUCUAUCUUUGGCCAAGUUAGCCCCCAAGUUAUUCCCAAAAGUGAAAUUACAAAUUUGACCUUAAAGGUAGGAACUCCUUAAGGUGUACUAGCUUCUAGUGGCCCUUCCUCUACCUCUGGUCCUGGUAUGGUUAUUCUUGCUUUUCAACUUUGUCACUUUUCACGAACUCCACUUUUAAUGAUGGUUCAUUUGUAGAUUCUACCAAGGACCUAGGCGAGAAGAUGGAGGAGCUCCCGAAGAUAAUGGAAGCAGUGUCCUUAGUCUAGGGAUAGUCUUCCUCACAUGUGCUUAGUGAAAUUAGUACUUGCCCUCUCCCAUUUUCUUGCUUUCCCUUAGUCUUUAAUUCCUACCCUUUAUUACUGAUAACUCAAUGCAGGUCCUAACAAGGAUUCAAAAGCAACAGUAGAUGACCUAUUGAGAGCCAGGGAAUAUCAAGAAAUGCCUUCAGCCCAUGGAAGCCUACCUUUGGAUACUACUAGUGAGAUUGGUACUAAAGUGAGGGCCAAGGAGCCCAAGGCCACAGUUGUUGAAGAAGUCAGGGAACCUUCAGCAGUACCCGCUUAAGCUUCUAGAGUUCAAACCAAGGUCCCUCAAAGUGAUCCAGGAACUGCAGACCUUUCUCUCCCUCAAGAGAAUGACACAGUGAUGGAGGAGCCCAAAGACACUAUCGUUGUGGAUCCUAGUGCUGGGCUUCCAAAUUAUUUGACUCGUUUUGAUUUGUUGGAGUUUAACAACCUCCUUAUGAGUCACUUCUAUUGUUUUGAGACAUCCUUCCCCAACUUCAUUUGCUUCUCAAUAGCUGCUAAAGGUUUGCCACUCCUUGAGGAGCUGUUAAGGUUUCACAAGGACUUUAUUGCCAGUUCAAAGGUGGUGUUUUCUUGGGGAACAUCCUUUUAGAGUUACUUUGUGCUAUCCUGGUUUCCCUAAAGAAUGCUUCAAUUGAUUCCUUAUCAGAGGAGAAAA
Molecule: long non-coding RNA, 2265 nt
Organism: Quercus lobata
Lineage: Eukaryota; Viridiplantae; Streptophyta; Magnoliopsida; Fagales; Fagaceae
Exons: 3
Source: RefSeq, a predicted model, not a curated record